CACAUUACAGAGAUACAGACACAUUACAGAGACACAUUACAGAGAUACAGACACAUUACAGAGAUACAGACACAUUACAGAGAUACAGACACAUUACAGAGAUACAGACACAUUACAGAGACACAGACACAUUACAGAGACACAGACACAUUACAGAGAUACAUUACAGAGAUACAGACACAUUACAGAGAUACAUUACAGAGAUACAGACACAUUACAGACAAAUUACAGAGACACAGACACAUUACAGAGAUACAGACACAUUACAGAGAUAGACACAUUACAGAGAUACAUUACAGAGAUACAGACACAUUACAGAGAUACAGACACAUUACAGACAAAUUACAGAGACACAGACACAU
This 362-nucleotide long non-coding RNA is filed under the name Salmo salar (Atlantic salmon). RNAcentral's name for it is "lncRNA (ENSSSAG00000118010.1)". Lineage: Eukaryota; Metazoa; Chordata; Actinopteri; Salmoniformes; Salmonidae. The record is from RNAcentral.